CGUAGGAGACGAGCGUUAUCCGGAUUUACUGGGCGUAAAGCGUGUGCAGGCGGUUCGGCAAGUUGGAUGUGAAAUCUCCCGGCUCAACUGGGAGGGGUCGUUCAAAACUACCGAACUUGAGGUCAUCAGGGGAAGGUGGAAUUCCGGGUGUAGUGGUGAAAUGCGUAGAUAUCCGGAGGAACACCAGUGGCGAAGGCGGCCUUCUGGGAUGAUCCUGACGCUCAGACACGAAAGCUAGGGGAGCGAACGGGAUUAGAGACCCCGGUAGUCCUAGCUGUAAACGAUGUAGACUUGGCGUCGGAGGGUUCAAAACCUUCGGUGUCGUAGCUAACGCGAUAAGUCUACCGCCUGGGGACUACGGCCGCAAGGUUA
RNAcentral lists this ribosomal RNA (372 nucleotides) under uncultured organism. RNAcentral's name for it is "bacterial SSU rRNA". It matches the Rfam family "Bacterial small subunit ribosomal RNA", at positions 526 to 896 of the family's 1533-position model. The record is from RNAcentral.